This 1126-nucleotide ribosomal RNA is filed under the name Klebsiella pneumoniae. RNAcentral's name for it is "bacterial SSU rRNA". It matches the Rfam family "Bacterial small subunit ribosomal RNA", at positions 8 to 1125 of the family's 1533-position model. Lineage: Bacteria; Pseudomonadati; Pseudomonadota; Gammaproteobacteria; Enterobacterales; Enterobacteriaceae. The record is from RNAcentral.
AGAGUUUGAUCAUGGCUCAGAUUGAACGCUGGCGGCAGGCCUAACACAUGCAAGUCGAGCGGUAGCACAGAGAGCUUGCUCUCGGGUGACGAGCGGCGGACGGGUGAGUAAUGUCUGGGAAACUGCCUGAUGGAGGGGGAUAACUACUGGAAACGGUAGCUAAUACCGCAUAAUGUCGCAAGACCAAAGUGGGGGACCUUCGGGCCUCAUGCCAUCAGAUGUGCCCAGAUGGGAUUAGCUAGUAGGUGGGGUAACGGCUCACCUAGGCGACGAUCCCUAGCUGGUCUGAGAGGAUGACCAGCCACACUGGAACUGAGACACGGUCCAGACUCCUACGGGAGGCAGCAGUGGGGAAUAUUGCACAAUGGGCGCAAGCCUGAUGCAGCCAUGCCGCGUGUGUGAAGAAGGCCUUCGGGUUGUAAAGCACUUUCAGCGGGGAGGAAGGCGGUAAGGUUAAUAACCUCAUCGAUUGACGUUACCCGCAGAAGAAGCACCGGCUAACUCCGUGCCAGCAGCCGCGGUAAUACGGAGGGUGCAAGCGUUAAUCGGAAUUACUGGGCGUAAAGCGCACGCAGGCGGUCUGUCAAGUCGGAUGUGAAAUCCCCGGGCUCAACCUGGGAACUGCAUUCGAAACUGGCAGGCUAGAGUCUUGUAGAGGGGGGUAGAAUUCCAGGUGUAGCGGUGAAAUGCGUAGAGAUCUGGAGGAAUACCGGUGGCGAAGGCGGCCCCCUGGACAAAGACUGACGCUCAGGUGCGAAAGCGUGGGGAGCAAACAGGAUUAGAUACCCUGGUAGUCCACGCCGUAAACGAUGUCGAUUUGGAGGUUGUGCCCUUGAGGCGUGGCUUCCGGAGCUAACGCGUUAAAUCGACCGCCUGGGGAGUACGGCCGCAAGGUUAAAACUCAAAUGAAUUGACGGGGGCCCGCACAAGCGGUGGAGCAUGUGGUUUAAUUCGAUGCAACGCGAAGAACCUUACCUGGUCUUGACAUCCACAGAACUUUCCAGAGAUGGAUUGGUGCCUUCGGGAACUGUGAGACAGGUGCUGCAUGGCUGUCGUCAGCUCGUGUUGUGAAAUGUUGGGUUAAGUCCCGCAACGAGCGCAACCCUUAUCCUUUGUUGCCAGCGGU